UCGUCGAUCACGGUCGGCGAGAUGAAGUGGAUGUGGGUGUCGAUGGCGCCCGCGGUGACGAUCUUCCCGUUGCCGGCGAUGAUCUCGGUCUCGGGGCCGAUGACGAGCGCCGGCUCCACCCCGUCCAUGGUGUCGGGGUUGCCCGCCUUGCCGAUGCCGCAGAUCCGGCCGUCGCGGAUGCCGACGUCGGCCUUGACGAUCCCCCAGUGGUCGAGGAUCACGACACCGGUGAUCACCGUGUCGGGGGCGCCUUCGGCGCGGGUCGUGCGGGCCUGUCCCAUGGAUUCGCGG
This 291-nucleotide small RNA is filed under the name Streptomyces lavendulae subsp. lavendulae. RNAcentral describes it as "5' ureB small RNA". It matches the Rfam family "5' ureB small RNA". Lineage: Bacteria; Bacillati; Actinomycetota; Actinomycetes; Kitasatosporales; Streptomycetaceae. The record is from Rfam by way of RNAcentral.